This 253-nucleotide ribosomal RNA is filed under the name uncultured bacterium. RNAcentral describes it as "partial 16S ribosomal RNA". It matches the Rfam family "Bacterial small subunit ribosomal RNA", at positions 524 to 776 of the family's 1533-position model. The record is from RNAcentral.
UACGUAGGGUGCAAGCGUUAAUCGGAAUUACUGGGCGUAAAGCGUGCGCAGGCGGUUAUGUAAGACAGAUGUGAAAUGCCCGGGCUUAACCUGGGAACUGCAUUUGUGACUGCAUGGCUAGAGUGUGUCAGAGGGGGGUAGAAUUCCACGUGUAGCAGUGAAAUGCGUAGAUAUGUGGAGGAAUACCGAUGGCGAAGGCAGCCCCCUGGGAUAACACUGACGCUCAUGCACGAAGGCGUGGGGAGCAAACAGG